AUUGAACGCUGGCGGCAUGCCCUACACAUGCAAGUCGAACGGCAGCACGGGUGCUUGCACCUGGUGGCGAGUGGCGAACGGGUGAGUAAUACAUCGGAACAUGUCCUGUAGUGGGGGAUAGCCCGGCGAAAGCCGGAUUAAUACCGCAUACGAUCCACGGAUGAAAGCGGGGGACCUUCGGGCCUCGCGCUAUAGGGUUGGCCGAUGGCUGAUUAGCUAGUUGGUGGUGUAAAGGCCUACCAAGGCGACGAUCAGUAGCUGGUCUGAGAGGACGACCAGCCACACUGGGACUGAGACACGGCCCAGACUCCUACGGGAGGAAGCAGUGGGGAAUUUUGGACAAUGGGCGAAAGCCUGAUCCAGCAAUGCCGCGUGUGUGAAGAAGGCCUUCGGGUUGUAAAGCGCUUUUGUCCGGAAAGAAAUCCUUGGCUCUAAUACAGGCGGGGGAUGACGGUACCGGAAGAAUAAGCACCGGCUAACUACGUG
Molecule: ribosomal RNA, 486 nt
Filed under: uncultured bacterium
Lineage: Bacteria
Description: partial 16S ribosomal RNA
Rfam family: Bacterial small subunit ribosomal RNA
Source: RNAcentral